CGGGGGUGGAUGCCGUCUCGCCAGGCUCGCACCAGAGGCUGCGCGCUUUCAUCUUUAAUCGUCUCUUCUCGGUUUCCUUUGAGUGGGGAUAUAAGAAGGCUCGCGUCUCUCCAUCAAACCGCAUCUCUAAUUUAAACAGCUGUUAAUAAGGGUUAAAUCUGCAGGCUGAGCUGGCCCUUCACUUGUUACUUGCAAAGGGGGGAAAAAAUCAAUGGAGCAGGAAGCCAGAGGGGCGUCCAUUUUGAAAAGCCGUAAUGAAUUACGUUUCCUUAGCAAAGCUGGCAACCUCCAGUCCUGCUCCCACAGCCUGCCUUUCACAUAGCCGAGCCCUCUGUGACACAUCAAAUUUAAUGAGACUGCACAGAUCUCAAAUAAGGGAGGGGAACGCCGCUGCCGCUGCUGGGGAACUUUAUUAAGGAGGAACAGAGAAAACUCGUGAGCUUUUUAAAACAGUCCCUUAAAGGCAAAGGAUAUUUUCGGGGUAGUAGAAGGAGGUCCCUGAUUUCAAUGUUUCAAGUCCUCCUCCUAGAGCAUUUUAACAACUAAAUUCAGUGGGAGCUUUUGGAUCUCCUCAUGAGCAAACAGGUCUGCAAACCUCAGGACCAUGGAGGACGACCAUGGAGGACCAAGGGGACUGUGUGAGGAAGACAGGUGUGGGGCAGGAGUGAGAGAGGGGAGAGGAUCAACAAAGCCGGAAGGAACAACUCCACAACGCCACCGUCUUAGCUGCAUGAAAAUAUUUCCAGAUUUGAAAAGGCUUUGUUCAUGUUCCAAGAUAUCUACUUGUGCUCCAACCAUCACAUGCUCUGUUGGAAGGAAGAGAUGGAGGAAGAUACAACCAAUAAGAACAAUUUCCUGGGGCCAGCAUUGUGGUAUAGGAGGUAAACCUACUACCUGCAAUGCCAGCAUCCCAUAUCGGUGCCGGUUUGAGUCCUGGUUGCUCCACUUCUGAUCCAGCUCCAUGCUAAUGACCUGGGAAAGCAGUGGAAGAUGGCCCAAGUGCUAGGGUCUCUGCACCCAUGUGGGAAACCUGGAAGAAGCUCCUGACUCCUGGCUUCAGCCUAGCCUGGCCAUUGCAACCAUUUGGGAAGUGAACCAGCAAAUGAAAGAUCUCUCUGUCUCUCCCUCUAUCUCUGUAACUCUGACUUUCAGUUAAAUAAAAAUAAAUCUCUUAAAAAAUUUAGUGAGUUUAAUUUAAUAAUAAAGAGCAAGAAGAAGUUCCAGCAGUGUUCUAACACCCUAUUGGGCAGAAAUCUGACCUGCAAAGGAAGCUGGGAAUCCAGUCUGUGUUUGGAGUCACAUUACUAAGGAAUACCAGAACACCAUCUCUUUCCCAUCAGUGCAGAGUCUGAAUUCUAGCUGUUAGCUCUGUGACUUCAGGACAAGGUGAGCCUGUUUUCUUAGCCCUAAAAUGUGAAGGUACUGUCAAUUUUAUGUGGUUAUUGUGAGGUUAAAUACUAUCACGACUAUUUACUACCUAAUUAACAAGUUGAUUGUCAUUACUUGUUUAGUGGCAGUUGCUGUUUUCACAAGGUAUGGUUGACAGACAAAGAAGGAGCCUCAUAUCUAGAAAAGUCAGGAAAGGACUCAAGGAUGUGAUUGCUUACAGUUGAAAUAGUCAUAGGUACGAUUCUACAAUGAUUUUUACUUAGUUAAAAACCAUAUCAGGGCUGGUGCUGCCUGCAGUAGCGGCAUCCCACAUGGACACCAGUAUGAGUCCCGGCUGCUCUACUUCCGAUCCAGCUCUCUGCUGUGGUCUGGGAAAGCAGUAGAAGAUGGCCCAAGUCCUUGGGUCCCUGCACCCACAUGGGAGACCAGGAGGAAGCUCCUAGCUCCUGGCUCCUAGCUUUGGAUUGGCUCAGGUCCAGGCACCGUUGCCACCUGGGGAGUGAAUCAGCAGAUGGGAGACCUCUCUUUCUCUGUCUCUCUGCCUUUCCUUCUCUCUCUGUGUAACUUUGACUUUGAAUGAAAUAAAUAAAUCUUUUAAAAAACCAUAUCUUGUAGACUGUUCAGCCUUGUUAUUAAGACUCCUACUUUCUACAUGAAAGUGCAUGGAUUUGCUUCCCCUCUCCAGAUCCUGAUUCCUGUUCCUCACCAAUGAACACCAUAGGAGACAGCAGUGACAGCUUGAGCAAUUGAAGUCCCACAACUAUAUGGGAGAUCUGGACUGUGUUCCCAGCUCCUGGAUCUGGCCCCAGCCCAGCCCCUACCAUUUCAGGUAUUUGGGGCAUGAGCCAGUAGGUAGGCUCUCUCUCACUCUUGCUGUUUCUUAAAUAAAAACACUUAAAAAAAAAACAACCAUAGGGAUAUGCGUUUGGUGAAAUGGUUAAGACUCUGCUUGGUAUACCUGCACCCCAUAUUGUAGUGUGGGUUUCACUUCCAAUUCCAGCUUCCUGGUGGUGUGCAUUCUGUGAGGCAGCAGGUGGUGGUUCAAGUGGUUGAGCCCCUGCCGCCGUGUUGGGAGGCCCAAACUGACUUCAUGCUCCUGGCUUCAGCCUGAUCCAGACCUGGUUGUUGGAGGCAUCUGGGGAGUAGAAUGGAGAUCUCCUUCUCUCUGCCUCUGUCUCUCUGCCUUUGAAAUAAAUAAAAAUAUUGCAAGCACUUCUCCAACUAGAACUGUAAGCAUUGUAGAGUUUACUUUCUCACCUCUUCAUUGAGGACCUAAUCACCAGUUCGUGUCUGCCAGCCACUGAGCAUCUACCCCGUCUAUUGCAUUCUUUUGAUUUCUACACCUACCGCACUAUGCCAGGACAUUGUGCGUGGGCUGCUGAAACAGCCUCGUAACUGGUCUACCUCUAAUUUGCUGUUAUUUUAUGUAUUAUUCUCUGCCCUGAAGAGUGAUCUACUAAAAUUGCAGACACACAGCUCCUCACUGAUUGCUGAAUGAAGGAAGAGUGCCUUGGCAUGGAGUUCACACUACAGCUCCACAUUUCUAGCUGCACCUCCCAACUCUUCUCCACAGCCCAUUGUAUGACCUUUUGUGCUUAUGCAUUUGUUCAUGGUGUUCCUGAGCCAUUUCUCUUCUGACCAGCUAAAUCCUAGUCACACUUGAAGAAUGAGCUAAGAUACCACCUCCUCCUUGAAGACUUCCCCUUGUCUCCUUAGGUGGAUUCAAAUGUCUGUUACUUUAUAUUUUUACCAUGCAGAGUUCGAAUUCCACUGCAUUAAACAUAAAUAUACUGAGGGCUUUCUGUGUAUUAGAUAUGAGACAUAAUCCUUGCUCCGAGGGAGCUCUUAACUUAGGGAGGGGAGACAUAAGCAGAUUGUGAUCCCACAUGCUGAUGCUACACUGUGAGGAUAUAGAUGAAGUAAGUGGGCGAUAUAGGAGGACUGGUUAUCUGGAGACGAGUAGGGAUGGAAGGAGAUAUACAUAGGGAAAUCUCCCCCGAGCAGUUGAUGAUGGUACUGGGUUUUGAGAAAGGUCUAGAAAUUAACUACACAGAAAAGGGCAAGAGAUAGAGGUGAAGCAAAUCACCUAAAGCAGAAGAACAGCAGGAGAACAUGGUGUUCAGGGAGUUAAGCCUACUGGUUCACUCCCCAGUUGGCCACAGAGGCUGGAACUGUGCCAAUCCAAAGCCAGGAGCCGGGAGCCAGGAGUUUCCUCUGGGUAUCCCAUGCAGGUGCAGGGGUCCAGGCACUAGGACCAUCUUCUGUUGUUUUCUCAGGCCAUAGUGGGGAGCUGGAUGGGAAGAGGAGCAGCUGAGACCCAAAUUGGCGCCCAUACAGGAUGCUGACACUGCAGGCGGAGGCUUAGCCUACUAUGCCAACCCCCUCCCCUUUUGUUUUGCUGACUCUGUGAAGAAAGUUUAUCUUUAGGGGCCAGCAUUGUGGCACAGCAGGUUAAGCUGCCACCUGCAGUGCCAGCAUUCCAUAUGAGGGCUGCCUUAAGUCCUAGCUAUGCUCAUUGUAAUUCAGCUCCCUGCUAAUGUGCUUGGGAAAGCAGAAGAAAUGGUCCAAGUACCUGAGACCCUGCCACCCAUAUGGGAGACCUGGAUGGAGUUCCAGGCUCCUGGCUUCAACCUGGCUCAGCCCUUGGCCAUUGUAGCCAGUUGGGGAGUGAACCAGCAGAUGGAAGAUCUCUCUUUCUUUGUCCCUCCCUCUCUUUCUGUA
Molecule: non-coding RNA, 4110 nt
Organism: Oryctolagus cuniculus (rabbit)
Lineage: Eukaryota; Metazoa; Chordata; Mammalia; Lagomorpha; Leporidae
Source: RefSeq, a predicted model, not a curated record